Molecule: non-coding RNA, 75 nt
Organism: Microtus oregoni (creeping vole)
Lineage: Eukaryota; Metazoa; Chordata; Mammalia; Rodentia; Cricetidae
Source: the annotation of a RefSeq genome assembly
GGGGAGAUGGCUUGGUUGGUAAAGUGCUUGCCUGACAAGCAGGAGGACCUGAGUUUGAUUCUCAGACUCCCCCCA